RNAcentral lists this long non-coding RNA (1754 nucleotides) under Citrus x clementina. RNAcentral describes it as "Citrus clementina (C. clementina) long non-coding RNA (CCLE_LNC002654)". Lineage: Eukaryota; Viridiplantae; Streptophyta; Magnoliopsida; Sapindales; Rutaceae. The record is from RNAcentral.
AAAUAAUCACUUUUAAUUUUUAGAUAAGUUAUAUCAAUCAGUCAUUAAAAAAUAUAUUAUUACUUACAACAUAGAGAGAGAAAAAAAAUUUGUAAUUAGAAAGUCAACUUGGGAUUUCAUUGUCUUCAAUUACGUAUGAUGAUUCCCAGAGAGCGCCGCCAGCGUGUUAAUUCUUUGAAGAAUCUGCUUUUCAAAUUUCAGAAUAAUAUUUUCAGAAAUCAUAAUAUUUAAUUGUUUCAAAAGAAUAAAAUGUACAUCAUUUUUAAUCAAUUACUUUAAUAUAAAAUUGUUAUUAACCUUUUCUUCUUUUUAUAACGAAUAACUUGAAAUUUUAACUAACAUUAAUUAAUUAAUCUGCAUGCAUGAACAGAGAUGAUCACUAAUAAAGAAGUUUUGGCCGAUUAUGCAACAACGAUUCUCCACGUAUUAAUUAAUUCAAUUCCCCUUAAUUAAUUCAUUUGCUUGCUAUUUUAAACCGUAGGAUUCCGUUGUUGCUCUUAAUGGGUACAAGGUUCUUAAAUGUAACCGUAAUUCUCACCUUCUUCUUCUUCUUCUUCUUAUCAUUAUAUAUAUUUGUUGUUGCAAUAUGUAAAUAUUUUAUUCGUUAAUAAUGAUUUUUUAUGUGGGUGGCCUUAUGACUCUAUUUGCACACAUGAACUACUUUUGUGUGUUAAUCCUACAUCAUUUCCACUGCAUGAAUUGUUUAUUAUAGCUUUUGUGGAAUCUGAAUCGUUAUUGGCAUUCGGAAAAGGAAAGGGAGAAUCUUUUCUCUAUACUUUUUUGUUUAAUAAUUUACAUAUAAAAUAUAUAGAAGCGGAGAAAAUAGGACUAAAUCCAAUUAUUGAACAGGACCUAACAAGUAUGAUGUUGGGUUAUUGGCAUGUGAUGUCAACUACAAGAAUUUAUGCUACCAUAUAUGCUAUUAGUUCGGGAAAGGAUUCCCAAUUUUGAUGAUUCAAGAACUUUCUAUUAAUAUUAUAAUUUUUAUCCAACAUUUAUAAUUAAUAAGAUAAGUGUUUGUCAUGAUCUUGCUUAGUUCUACUAUAUAUUACGGUUUGGAUGUAGUAUUCAUUUCGUAGAUAGUACAUAAUUCAUUAUCUAAUUGAUGAAUGUCACUUAAAAAUUAGAACUCAAGUUGAGAAUUGGGAUCUCAAUUAUUAUUAUCAAGAAAAAAAAAGGAGUCCACAAAAAUAACUGUCCAACUAACAAUCCAAACAUAAAUAUAAUAAAAUGAAAGAUUUUGUAAAAUUAUAGUAAUAAAAUAAUAGGAACAAUACUUUUUACAGUCAUUUAAUAUUUUAUAAUUCUUAAAGUAGUGAAACGCUAAUAACCUAAAAUAGAAACCUAAUAUUACAUGAGAACAAGUUUUUUUUUUUUUUUAAUAGUUGAAUCAUUCGAAUAUAAGAUAGAUAGAAUUAAUAUAUACUAAUGUCAUAUGGUGAUUAUAAAAUUAAAGAGAAUUUAUGAUAUUGAUUUGCCAGUGGUUGCUUUGUUUAAUUGUUCUGGAUAGCCAAUACACUCUUAAAGCCAACCAAUUUGAAAGAGAAAUGGUACCCACUACCCAGGGCAGCGCACUACUAGCGCAAAUGCUUCUUUGUUGGCAACAAUAUGAAUGAUGAAAAUGACUUUAAGGGUGGUAAAAUAUCGGCGUCGGGACAACUUUCCAAAAUCUGAGCCAGUUUUAACAUGGCUUUUGUCCGGUCAGGGUUUUUCGAGCCGGGCCAAAAAACUGAAAUUUAUGUUCUAUAUUUUUU